GGGACUGGGGGGGUAACUGGGAGGGACUGGUUUAAACUGGGAUGGAUUGGGAGGGACUGGGCAUGGAGCUAAGGAGCAGCUGAGGGUCCCGGGUGUAUCCCGGUAGUAUCCCGGGUGUAUCCCGGGUGUAUCCCAGGUGUGUCCCAGGUGUGUCCCAGGUGUAUCCCAGGUGUAUCCCAGGUGUGCCCAGGUGUAUCCCAGGUGUAUCCCAGGUGUACCCAGGUGUAUCCCAGGUGUAUCCCAGGUGUAUCCCAGGUGUGCCCAGGUGUAUCCCAGGUGUAUCCCAGGUGUAUCCCAGGUGUAUCCCAGGUGUAUCCCAGGUGUAUCCCAGGUGUAUCCCAGGUGUAUCCCUGGUGUAUCUCAGGUGUAUCUCACCUGUCCCUCCCCU
Serinus canaria (Common canary) is the source of this 388-nucleotide long non-coding RNA. RefSeq lists it as uncharacterized. The transcript is spliced from 3 exons. The record is from RefSeq and is a predicted model, not a curated record. NCBI's taxonomy places the organism in Eukaryota, Metazoa, Chordata, Aves, Passeriformes, Fringillidae.